RNAcentral lists this ribosomal RNA (490 nucleotides) under uncultured bacterium. RNAcentral describes it as "partial 16S ribosomal RNA". It matches the Rfam family "Bacterial small subunit ribosomal RNA", at positions 30 to 507 of the family's 1533-position model. The record is from RNAcentral.
AUUGAACGCUGGCGGCAGGCCUAACACAUGCAAGUCGAACGGUAACAGGAAACAGCUUGCUGUUUCGCUGACGAGUGGCGGACGGGUGAGUAAUGUCUGGGAAACUGCCUGAUGGAGGGGGAUAACUACUGGAAACGGUAGCUAAUACCGCAUAACGUCGCAAGACCAAAGAGGGGGACCUUCGGGCCUCUUGCCAUCGGAUGUGCCCAGAUGGGAUUAGCUAGUAGGUGGGGUAACGGCUGACCUAGGCGACGAUCCCUAGCUGGUCUGAGAGGAGUACCAGCCACACUGGAACUGAGACACGGUCCAGACUCCUACGGUAGGCCGCAGUGGGGAAUAUUGCACGAUGGGCGCAAGCCUGAUGCAGCCAUGCCGCGUGUAUGAAGAAGGCCUUCGGGUUGUAAAGUACUUUCAGCGGUGAGGAAGGGAGUAAAGUUAAUACCGGUACUCAUUGACGUUACCCGCAGAAGAAGCACCGGCUAACUCCGUG